RNAcentral lists this ribosomal RNA (253 nucleotides) under uncultured bacterium. Its description in RNAcentral is "partial 16S ribosomal RNA". It matches the Rfam family "Bacterial small subunit ribosomal RNA", at positions 524 to 776 of the family's 1533-position model. The record is from RNAcentral.
UACAGAGGGUGCAAGCGUUGUUCGGAAUUACUGGGCGUAAAGCGUGCGUAGGCGGUUUGCCGUGUCCUGUGUGAAAGCCCCGGGCUCAACCUGGGAAUUGCAUGGGAAACUGGCAGGCUUGAGUGUGGCAGAGGAGGGUGGAAUUCCGCGUGUAGCAGUGAAAUGCGUAGAGAUGCGGAGGAGCACCGAUGGCGAAGGCAGCCCUCUGGGCCAACACUGACGCUCAGGCACGAAAGCGUGGGGAGCAAACAGG